This 138-nucleotide ribosomal RNA is filed under the name uncultured eukaryote. Its description in RNAcentral is "partial 18S ribosomal RNA". It matches the Rfam family "Eukaryotic small subunit ribosomal RNA", at positions 1299 to 1458 of the family's 1831-position model. The record is from RNAcentral.
UGGUGGAGUGAUUUGUCUGGUUAAUUCCGUUAACGAACGAGACCCCGCCUGCUAAAUAGUCACGUCCAUGCUUGGCAUUGACGUUGGCUUCUUAGAGGGACUUUCGGUGACUAACCGAAGGAAGUUGGGGCAAUAACA